RNAcentral lists this ribosomal RNA (253 nucleotides) under uncultured bacterium. Its description in RNAcentral is "partial 16S ribosomal RNA". It matches the Rfam family "Bacterial small subunit ribosomal RNA", at positions 524 to 776 of the family's 1533-position model. The record is from RNAcentral.
UACGGAGGGGGCUAGCGUUGUUCGGAAUUACUGGGCGUAAAGCGCGCGUAGGCGGACUGUUAAGUCGGGGGUGAAAUCCCGGGGCUCAACCCCGGAACUGCCUUCGAUACUGGCGGUCUAGAAGUCUGGAGAGGUGAGUGGAAUUCCGAGUGUAGAGGUGAAAUUCGUAGAUAUUCGGAGGAACACCAGUGGCGAAGGCGGCUCACUGGCCAGAUUCUGUCGCUGAGGUGCGAAAGCGUGGGCAGCAAACACG